Transfer RNA from Felis catus (domestic cat), 85 nucleotides. It matches the Rfam family "tRNA". Rfam says of the family: Transfer RNA (tRNA) molecules are approximately 80 nucleotides in length. The record is from Rfam. Lineage: Eukaryota; Metazoa; Chordata; Mammalia; Carnivora; Felidae.
GCCUGGGUGGCUCAGUUGGUUGAGCGUCCGACUUCAGCUCGGGUCAUGAUCUCACAGUCUGUGAGUUCGAGCCCCGCGUCGGGCU